UUCGUUUUAUAUUUAGGAUAACAAGAAAGUAAAAUCAGUAAGAGACAGAAACGAAAAAAGGUCCGUUUUUUCAUUUUCUGAGACCGGAAGUGGUCAUCAGCAAGUGUAGAGCCAAACAGAGUACGGUGCAUAGACUGGAUAUAUUUUUUUUCGUUAGUUUUCAUGGUCAAAAUGAGAGAUCAGGUGGCCGAUCUUAAAAUAAAUCAAUAAGGACUUUUUUAUAGAGCGUUAAAGUUUUGCGAAGCCAGGGGGCGGGACUACUUGACUGACAGUCUGGUCUGGAAUGAUUGACAGGUCCUAUGGAGGAGGCAGCAGAGACUCUGCUCUCCUCGUUUGGAUUAAUUCUGAUAUAAUAACUGUUGGUUUAUUUAUCGGUGGAGCAGCAGAACAUUUUCCACAGAUAGUUUUCCUGCCUGUUGGCUUGUUUUAACCAGUUUUCUGCCUUCAGCUGAUUCUACCAGCAGACACUGAAAGGACUCUGAUAGUUCGAGUGAAAGUAGCAGUUCCUCCUGAAGGUCAGAGAUUGCAGCAUCUGAGGGCCUCUUCAAAAGAAGACGUAGUUGAUGAAGGCGUUCUGGAGCAGGACCAGAAAGACCACGACCAAGCAGCCUUGAGAUCUUAGGCAGCUUCUCCCUCAGGUCCCUCUCCAUCUCCCCACACAUCCACCAACCACUGGAACACAUCUCCAAAGUUCUGCUGGACCAGCUCAGCUUCCCCUCAGAAGAAGUGGCGCCACCUGCCAGAUGAAGGAGCCUUUUGAGAGGCAGCUGGCAUCGUGAUUGGACUGUACUUUGGUCUGUUCCAAUCCAGCUUCAGCUCCAGAGACGGCAGGCGGGAUGAGUCAACGGAGGCCGGAUGGACGAAGACCAAAGAACUACAGACUCUUCACAACCUGCUCAAACUCUUGGUACAGGACCUCACCACACGGGUCAAGAAGGUUUC
Long non-coding RNA from Amphiprion ocellaris (clown anemonefish), 942 nucleotides. The record is from Ensembl. NCBI's taxonomy places the organism in Eukaryota, Metazoa, Chordata, Actinopteri, Pomacentridae.